Molecule: long non-coding RNA, 3523 nt
Filed under: Malus domestica (apple)
Lineage: Eukaryota; Viridiplantae; Streptophyta; Magnoliopsida; Rosales; Rosaceae
Description: long non-coding RNA (MDOM_LNC003728)
Source: RNAcentral
UGGGAUUAGUCACUACCUUGCAACCUUUUGGGUUUUAAGCAUCGUUAUAUUCUAAACAGUUAACACUACCAUAUGAUCUCUACUAUAGAGAUAAUCAAUUAGAUUACAAUAAUCUAAUCAUUCAUUAAUAAAGAACAAUGUUUUGUCAAACAAAACAUUCAUCCAUUUCUCAUAUGGAAUUAAGUUCCUUUAUUCAAAUUGGAAUGUAAAAACAAUCUUUGUUUUUCCAUUUUCUUUGGUAGUUCAUAUGAGGAAGUAAGUACUACCUGCUUUUGCAGAGAUCUAUAUUUAAUUCACGUUUCGAAUGUGAAGUACUUUAUCUUCUCUCAUUAAUCUUCUACUUCUUAUUAGCCACGCUUUUACAACGAUUGUAAAACAUAGUUACUAAUACGGAAUCAAACAUUCAAGUAAAAGAACCAACUAUUUUGAACUUUUCAAGAACAAUUUACAACACCUUCGAAAGGUGUGUUCUUGACACUUGCAAGACAUUUCUUGCAAAUACCCCUUCCAAUGUCUAUCCUUUCAUAAAGAAAGUUUGUUCCCUUGCAGUUAUUUCGCCUUCUUCAUUUGACUUCUCCUUUGACUACAAUAGUCAUGGUCUCUAAACUCCCACUAUCUCUCUUGAAACUUAUUUCAAUUGUGUUAUAUACAUCAAGCAAUUUGGAGAGCGUGUGGUUAUUUGUUCACUAUAUAGUUUACAAUAAACUUAGUGAACCAUUUGGAUAGGGACACAAAAGUGAAGUCCUUGCCUAGUUUCCGUCUCUAGAAGUGGUUUAACACUUCAACACUCAAUGAUUCAAAAUCAUCAUAAAUCCAUGUUGAUGGACUAUUUUUGUCAACCAACCAUUAUGUUCUAAACACAAUUACAAACUUUGAAGAGUUGUUCAAGGCAACUCUCAUUUCUUCAUACAACAAUUUGUAAGUAAAGAAUCAUGGCACAUAAAGUGUCCAUGCCCUUGUGCUUACUUCUCAAGUUCCUUGUUCAUGUAACAAAGAAACGGGUACUAAUGUUUGCGUUAACUAAGGGUUGUUCAAAGCAACUCUUACUUCUUCAUACAACAAUUUGUAAUUGAAGAAUUAUGACAUUAAAAGUGUUGUCCUCUUUAUGAUAGACUUAUCUAACAUGUUCUUCCAAUGAUACAUUAUCAAUAGGAAGAUUGCAAGGAUGAGACUACUUAGGUACAUAUACAAGCCAUUAUAGACAAUCUAUGGGAUUGUAGUACCAAGUCCGGAAACUACUUAUCUAACAUGUUCUUUGUCAAGUUUUGGAUAACGUUUGCAAAUAUAUUGGUAAAUAAAUACAUAACGAAUAUAAAUUGAUUGAUUUUAAGCCAUUUGAUUCGGGUCUUUAAAUCAAAUAGCAUCACCCACUAUUUUUGGCAAAUUCCAUAUCCCUCAUCGGAAUUCGAGAGUUUUGGAGGAAACUCUUAGUAGGGUAUGGGAGACUCAUCAUUACCAAGCCCACCUCACAAUGAUAUGAUAUUGGCUAACAUCAAUAAUAAUGAGAGAGUACGCUUACUCAUUUGCAUCUCUUGCAAGUACCCAUCUUAUUUGGCCUCUAGAGAAUGAAGCCUCACAAUGAUAUGAUGUUGGCUCCAUUGCACUUAGUUAAGUCAUUCCCACCAUACAAGUUCGAGUAGGGGUUCAAGAACAACCUCACAAUGAUAUGAUGUUGAUCAUUCUCGUUGCCUACCUUCACAACAUCAUGUAUGCAUAUAGAACUCCUCCUGAGUGUAAGCACACACUUUGUACUCCCCCAUGAUAGGGUGAAGUCGGUGUACGAGUCACAAAUGAUCGGAGCCUACCCCGAUGGAAGGCCACGAAAGAGUGUUCAAAGCACUCUCACGCUUAUCAACUUAAUAAUGGUUUGGUGAAGGGUUUUAGGUCUCAUCACAUAUAAGCAUGCAUUUUAAUCUAAUUAAAACAAUUUGGUCCUAUUACAACUAUUGGUCCAUGUGAUUGAUUUAGUAGUAUAUAAUACUCCCACUAAGCUUGUAAAACGGUUUUAAAGCAAGAGUAUAUGGUACUACUAACAUAAGGUUCGCAUUCAUUGAUGGACUAUAUGUUGACUUAGGGCCUUAGGAUGACUAUGAACCUUUGAUUAGAUCCAACACGAGCCUAGUGUUGAAUCUCGGUCUAGGGAUGGUGAUUGAUUUUAGUUACGCGUUUAAUCAUAUUAAGGCGUGUUUUUCUUAUUGGGUGUUGGACCCAACUACUCCAAUUGCAUGCAUAUCAAAUAAAACAAGAAAAGAGUACUUCAAAGUAAAGAAGAGCUUAUGCUCUUUUACAACAUUUGAUCAUAUCAAAUUACAACCAAAAUCUAAUCUACACAUUCCCAUGGUUCAAACAAAUUUGAGACAUCCUUUCACAUAGCUCAAUUAUCGUAGGCUUAGGUUCAUAAUCACCAUUUCUUUAAUUAAUUAACGCUUUAACUAAUUAAACUUGAAUGCAACAUUUUCAUUUGGUUUUUUUUUUUUUGGUCAAUAAUUUUCAUUUGGUUUUUGUUUCCAUAGAAUUGAUUUAAAUAGAGCUAAAUGAAAUGAAAAUCCAAUUCUCAUUUAAAGAUACAAAACUAUUUUGUUCUCAACUAAUUUGGGCCAAAUUCUAUAACCUCAACUUUUUGGGCUAUGUUGCAAAACACAAACUUUUGAGGUCACUUUGUAAGAACACAAAAGUCCACUACUUCAUGUAAUUACAACUAGAACCCAAAAAUUUCAUCAAAUACAAAAACUUCAUUAAAGGAGCAAAACAAUUUGUCCCUUAGUGAUUUUGGGCCUUUACGUAAAAACGUAAACUUUCGGAUCAAAGUACAAAUACACAAAAGUAUCAAAACUUUAUGUAAUUGCAUAAAAGCCUCAAAAGUACCCUACAUGUAGGGUGGGCGGUCAUGGUAGUGUGAGGGGGUGGUUUUUGAUAAAAAAAACAAAAUCAUAAAGUCAUGCAAGUUGAAAAGGAUGGGUGAUGGGUUGGUGUGAAAAAGUAGGUAUAGGUGUGUAAGAAAAAAAAGUACCAGUCAUGUACAAAAAAUUCAAACACUCUAUCAACAUUUAAAUCACAUUUUUCAAAUAAAUGUCUUGUUGAUAGAAAAGUCACACCAACCAACACAAAACAAAGACUUUAUGUAAUCAACCAAAAACUUUGAAUCAAAAACACCAAACUUUUUGUUCUUGGUAAGAACAUCAGGAACAUUGAAGAACACACAGGAAAACUUAUAAGAGCUUCAUGAAUGUUUUCACUCAAUAAAAUUCAAAAUUUCACUACUCAAAAGAGGGUUAACAUUCUAGGGUACUUAGGGGUUCCAAAAGUCACCUUAAAACACUUUUAACAAGACAAACAAGAACCCAAAAAUCCACCCUUUGUAUUUGGCCGAAUUUCCCCAAAAACAUGGCACCAAAUUUUAGCUUCAAAAUUCAUGCUCAUAUGAACUACAUCUACAACAUUUGAGAUAGCAAAUUUUCUAACAAAAUUUACAUUCAAAGAAGCAAGAAUAAAGCUUGUAACAAUUACAACAUUCAAAUCAAAG